AUGUCGCGGUUCCAGCGAGGCCUGCGCCCGGUGCUGCAGGUGUUGGGCGCCCCUGCCUCGGCGGGCCCCACGGACCGGUACCGCUUCCUGCUCUCCGACGGCGUGCACUCCCAGGAGGGGAUCCUCGUCCCCUCCCUCGACAGCCUCGUCAGGACCGGCCGGCUCUGCGACGGCACCGUCAUACGCGUCCUCGACUACGUCUGCAACUCCGUCUGCAGCCGAAGGUGA
RNAcentral lists this ribosomal RNA (228 nucleotides) under Triticum aestivum (bread wheat). RNAcentral describes it as "partial small subunit ribosomal RNA". Lineage: Eukaryota; Viridiplantae; Streptophyta; Magnoliopsida; Poales; Poaceae. The record is from RNAcentral.